This 87-nucleotide transfer RNA is filed under the name Phrynosoma platyrhinos (Desert horned lizard). RNAcentral's name for it is "tRNA-OTHER". Lineage: Eukaryota; Metazoa; Chordata; Lepidosauria; Squamata; Phrynosomatidae. The record is from RNAcentral.
GCCCUGGUAGCACAGUGGUUAAAUGCUUGUACUGCAGCCACUCACUCACAAACCACAAGGUUGCAAGUUCAAUACCAGCCAAGGGCU